RNAcentral lists this ribosomal RNA (253 nucleotides) under uncultured bacterium. RNAcentral's name for it is "partial 16S ribosomal RNA". It matches the Rfam family "Bacterial small subunit ribosomal RNA", at positions 524 to 777 of the family's 1533-position model. The record is from RNAcentral.
UACGUAGGUGGCAAGCGUUGUCCGGAAUUAUUGGGCGUAAAGCGCGCGCAGGCGGUCCUUUAAGUCUGAUGUGAAAGCCCACGGCUCAACCGUGGAGGGUCAUUGGAAAACUGGGGGACUUGAGUGCAGAAGAGGAAAGCGGAAUUCCACGUGUAGCGGUGAAAUGCGUAGAGAUGUGGAGGAACACCAGUGGCGAAGGCGGCUUCUGUCUGUAACUGACGCUGAGGCGCGAAAGCGUGGGGAGCAAACAGGA